Molecule: long non-coding RNA, 227 nt
Organism: Dicentrarchus labrax (European seabass)
Lineage: Eukaryota; Metazoa; Chordata; Actinopteri; Moronidae
Exons: 2
Source: RefSeq, a predicted model, not a curated record
GUCCUCGCUCAUGGCACAGUGAGGCAACAGGUGCACCCGGCAGAGCAGGAGUCGCACUUACGGUACAGUGCUGUAAUACAGGUGUAACAGGUACAUUUGGGAGGAAACAGAUGAAAUUUCAAGCAAUUCAAUCUAGCACAAUGCAGCUCCAGCUCCUCCCACCUCCGUGUCUGUGAGUAACUGGAUAGGAGUGAUUGACAGAAGAGAGUCAUGCCGGCUGAGAAAAG